Molecule: ribosomal RNA, 430 nt
Filed under: Ammonia sp. T3S
Lineage: Eukaryota; Foraminifera; Rotaliida; Rotaliidae
Description: SSU rRNA
Rfam family: Eukaryotic small subunit ribosomal RNA
Source: RNAcentral
UAAUUGUCUUCGGGCAUUUUAUAUAUUCGCUUGUGCGACUGCGCCGAACCUACUUCGAAAGUAAAAUUUUUAAGUGGGUAAUCCAUUAGAAGUAAUGACUCGCAUAGACCAUGGCACACUAUAUGUACGCGCAGGUCUACCCGGCUCGCCUUUGUGUGAGUGCAGUGCGUAGCUUGUUGUUUCGUACGUGCCACUCCGUAUUAAUUCGUACGUGGGGAUAGAUCAUUGUUUAAUUGUUGGUCUCGGUCUUAACUAGGAAUGCCUUGUACGGGUCUUUGGUUCAACAUACCACCCGGAAUACGUCCCUGCCCUUUGUACACACCGCCCGUCGCUCUUACCGAUGGAUUAUACUAUGAAUCUAUAGGACUGCCAAAGCUUUGCGGCGUGUUCGCACACCGCGCUUAGUGGAAAUAUAUAUGAAUAGUGGAUC